Molecule: transfer RNA, 86 nt
Filed under: Candidatus Berkelbacteria bacterium
Lineage: Bacteria; Candidatus Berkelbacteria
Description: tRNA-Leu
Rfam family: tRNA
About the family: Transfer RNA (tRNA) molecules are approximately 80 nucleotides in length. Their secondary structure includes four short double-helical elements and three loops (D, anti-codon, and T loops). Further hydrogen bonds mediate the characteristic L-shaped molecular structure. tRNAs have two regions of fundamental functional importance: the anti-codon, which is responsible for specific mRNA codon recognition, and the 3' end, to which the tRNAs corresponding amino acid is attached (by aminoacyl-tRNA synthetases). tRNAs cope with the degeneracy of the genetic code in two manners: having more than one tRNA (with a specific anti-codon) for a particular amino acid; and 'wobble' base-pairing, i.e. permitting non-standard base-pairing at the 3rd anti-codon position.
Source: RNAcentral
GCCGGAGUGGCGGAAUGGCAGACGCACGGGACUCAAAAUCCCGCGGUAGUAAUACCAUGUGGGUUCGACUCCCACCCCCGGCACCA